Molecule: ribosomal RNA, 250 nt
Filed under: uncultured bacterium
Lineage: Bacteria
Description: partial 16S ribosomal RNA
Rfam family: Bacterial small subunit ribosomal RNA
Source: RNAcentral
AGGGCCGCUACCACGCAAGUGGAUGCCCAAUCCCCAAAACCUCUCUCAGUUCGGAUUGAAGUCUGCAACCCGACUUCAUGAAGCUGGAUUCGCUAGUAAUCGCGCAUCAGCCACGGCGCGGUGAAUACGUUCCCGGGCCUUGUACACACCGCCCGUCAAGCCAUGGGAGCCGGGGGUACCCGAAGUGCGUAACCGCAAGGAGCGCCCUAGGGUAAAACUGGUGACUGGGGCUAAGUCGUAACAAGGUAAC